RNAcentral lists this ribosomal RNA (419 nucleotides) under bacterium. RNAcentral's name for it is "partial 16S ribosomal RNA". It matches the Rfam family "Bacterial small subunit ribosomal RNA", at positions 355 to 776 of the family's 1533-position model. The record is from RNAcentral.
UGGGGGAUAUUGCACAAUGGGCGAAAGCCUGAUGCAGCGACGCCGCGUGGGGGAUGAAGGCCUUCGGGUUGUAAACUUCUUUUGCUCUGAACAAGGCGCACCAUGGGGUGUGUUGAGUAUAGGGGUUGAUUAGCGCCGGCUAACUACGUGCCAGCAGCCGCGGUAAUACGUAGGGCGCGAGCGUUGUCCGGAAUUAUUGGGCGUAAAGGGCUUGUAGGUGGCUGGUUGCGUCUGUCGUGAAAGCUCGUGGCUUAACUGUGGGUUUGCGGUGGGUACGGGCUGGCUUGAGUGCAGUAGGGGAGGCUGGAAUUCCUGGUGUAGCGGUGGAAUGCGCAGAUAUCAGGAGGAAUACCGGUGGCGAAGGCGGGUCUCUGGGCUGUUACUGACACUGAGGAGCGAAAGCAUGGGGAGCGAACAGG